Transfer RNA from Ipomoea nil (Japanese morning glory), 82 nucleotides. It matches the Rfam family "tRNA". From Rfam's summary of the family: Transfer RNA (tRNA) molecules are approximately 80 nucleotides in length. Their secondary structure includes four short double-helical elements and three loops (D, anti-codon, and T loops). Further hydrogen bonds mediate the characteristic L-shaped molecular structure. tRNAs have two regions of fundamental functional importance: the anti-codon, which is responsible for specific mRNA codon recognition, and the 3' end, to which the tRNAs corresponding amino acid is attached (by aminoacyl-tRNA synthetases). tRNAs cope with the degeneracy of the genetic code in two manners: having more than one tRNA (with a specific anti-codon) for a particular amino acid; and 'wobble' base-pairing, i.e. permitting non-standard base-pairing at the 3rd anti-codon position. NCBI's taxonomy places the organism in Eukaryota, Viridiplantae, Streptophyta, Magnoliopsida, Solanales, Convolvulaceae. The record is from Rfam.
GUGGGCAUGCCGGAGUAGUUAACGGGCAUGACUUGAAAUCAUGUGGGCUCUACCUUCGCAGGUUCAAAUUCUGCUGCUCAUG